This 920-nucleotide ribosomal RNA is filed under the name uncultured bacterium. RNAcentral describes it as "bacterial SSU rRNA". It matches the Rfam family "Bacterial small subunit ribosomal RNA", at positions 66 to 985 of the family's 1533-position model. The record is from RNAcentral.
GCUGCACGGGGGCAACCCUGGUGGCGAGUGGCGAACGGGUGAGUAAUAUAUCGGAACGUGCCCUGGAGUGGGGGAUAACUAGUCGAAAGACUAGCUAAUACCGCAUACGAUCUACGGAUGAAAGUGGGGGAUCGCAAGACCUCAUGCUCGUGGAGCGGCCGAUAUCUGAUUAGCUAGUUGGUAGGGUAAAAGCCUACCAAGGCAUCGAUCAGUAGCUGGUCUGAGAGGACGACCAGCCACACUGGGACUGAGACACGGCCCAGACUCCUACGGGAGGCAGCAGUGGGGAAUUUUGGACAAUGGGGGCAACCCUGAUCCAGCAAUGCCGCGUGAGUGAAGAAGGCCUUCGGGUUGUAAAGCUCUUUUGUCAGGGAAGAAACGGCGGGCUCUAAUACGGCCCGCUAAUGACGGUACCUGAAGAAUAAGCACCGGCUAACUACGUGCCAGCAGCCGCGGUAAUACGUAGGGUGCAAGCGUUAAUCGGAAUUACUGAGCGUAAAGCGUGCGCAGGCGGUUAUGUAAGACAGAUGUGAAAUGCCCGGGCUUAACCUGGGAACUGCAUUUGUGACUGCAUGGCUAGAGUGUGUCAGAGGGGGGUAGAAUUCCACGUGUAGCAGUGAAAUGCGUAGAGAUGUGGAGGAAUACCGAUGGCGAAGGCAGCCCCCUGGGAUAACACUGACGCUCAUGCACGAAAGCGUGGGGAGCAAACAGGAUUAGAUACCCUGNUAGUCCACGCCCUAAACGAUGUCUACUAGUUGUCGGGUCUUAAUUGACUUGGUAACGCAGCUAACGCGUGAAGUAGACCGCCUGGGGAGUACGGUCGCAAGAUUAAAACUCAAAGGAAUUGACGGGGACCCGCACAAGCGGUGGAUGAUGNNGNUUAAUUCGAUGCAACGCGAAAAACCUUACCUACCCUUGAC